UACGGGGGGGCAAGCGUUGUUCGGAAUUACUGGGCGUAAAGGGCUUGUCGGUUGCCAACUAAGUCAGACGUGAAAUCCCUCGGCUUAACCGGGGAACUGCGUCUGAUACUGGAUGGCUUGAGUUUGGGAGAGGGAUGCGGAAUUCCAGGUGUAGCGGUGAAAUGCGUAGAUAUCUGGAGGAACACCGGUGGCGAAGGCGGCAUCCUGGACCGAAACUGACACUGAGGCGCGAAAGCCAGGGGAGCAAACGGG
This 252-nucleotide ribosomal RNA is filed under the name uncultured bacterium. RNAcentral's name for it is "partial 16S ribosomal RNA". It matches the Rfam family "Bacterial small subunit ribosomal RNA", at positions 524 to 776 of the family's 1533-position model. The record is from RNAcentral.